Molecule: ribosomal RNA, 1493 nt
Filed under: Vibrio alginolyticus
Lineage: Bacteria; Pseudomonadati; Pseudomonadota; Gammaproteobacteria; Vibrionales; Vibrionaceae
Description: bacterial SSU rRNA
Rfam family: Bacterial small subunit ribosomal RNA
Source: RNAcentral
GGCUCAGAUUGAACGCUGGCGGCAGGCCUAACACAUGCAAGUCGAGCGGAAACGAGUUAUCUGAACCUUCGGGGAACGAUAACGGCGUCGAGCGGCGGACGGGUGAGUAAUGCCUAGGAAAUUGCCCUGAUGUGGGGGAUAACCAUUGGAAACGAUGGCUAAUACCGCAUGAUGCCUACGGGCCAAAGAGGGGGACCUUCGGGCCUCUCGCGUCAGGAUAUGCCUAGGUGGGAUUAGCUAGUUGGUGAGGUAAGGGCUCACCAAGGCGACGAUCCCUAGCUGGUCUGAGAGGAUGAUCAGCCACACUGGAACUGAGACACGGUCCAGACUCCUACGGGAGGCAGCAGUGGGGAAUAUUGCACAAUGGGCGCAAGCCUGAUGCAGCCAUGCCGCGUGUGUGAAGAAGGCCUUCGGGUUGUAAAGCACUUUCAGUCGUGAGGAAGGUAGUGUAGUUAAUAGCUGCAUUAUUUGACGUUAGCGACAGAAGAAGCACCGGCUAACUCCGUGCCAGCAGCCGCGGUAAUACGGAGGGUGCGAGCGUUAAUCGGAAUUACUGGGCGUAAAGCGCAUGCAGGUGGUUUGUUAAGUCAGAUGUGAAAGCCCGGGGCUCAACCUCGGAAUAGCAUUUGAAACUGGCAGACUAGAGUACUGUAGAGGGGGGUAGAAUUUCAGGUGUAGCGGUGAAAUGCGUAGAGAUCUGAAGGAAUACCGGUGGCGAAGGCGGCCCCCUGGACAGAUACUGACACUCAGAUGCGAAAGCGUGGGGAGCAAACAGGAUUAGAUACCCUGGUAGUCCACGCCGUAAACGAUGUCUACUUGGAGGUUGUGGCCUUGAGCCGUGGCUUUCGGAGCUAACGCGUUAAGUAGACCGCCUGGGGAGUACGGUCGCAAGAUUAAAACUCAAAUGAAUUGACGGGGGCCCGCACAAGCGGUGGAGCAUGUGGUUUAAUUCGAUGCAACGCGAAGAACCUUACCUACUCUUGACAUCCAGAGAACUUUCCAGAGAUGGAUUGGUGCCUUCGGGAACUCUGAGACAGGUGCUGCAUGGCUGUCGUCAGCUCGUGUUGUGAAAUGUUGGGUUAAGUCCCGCAACGAGCGCAACCCUUAUCCUUGUUUGCCAGCGAGUAAUGUCGGGAACUCCAGGGAGACUGCCGGUGAUAAACCGGAGGAAGGUGGGGACGACGUCAAGUCAUCAUGGCCCUUACGAGUAGGGCUACACACGUGCUACAAUGGCGCAUACAGAGGGCGGCCAACUUGCGAAAGUGAGCGAAUCCCAAAAAGUGCGUCGUAGUCCGGAUUGGAGUCUGCAACUCGACUCCAUGAAGUCGGAAUCGCUAGUAAUCGUGGAUCAGAAUGCCACGGUGAAUACGUUCCCGGGCCUUGUACACACCGCCCGUCACACCAUGGGGAGUGGGCUGCAAAAGAAGUAGGUAGUUUAACCUUCGGGGGGGACGCUUACCACUUUGUGGUUCAUGACUGGGGGUGAAGUCGUA